Molecule: ribosomal RNA, 460 nt
Filed under: uncultured bacterium
Lineage: Bacteria
Description: partial 16S ribosomal RNA
Rfam family: Bacterial small subunit ribosomal RNA
Source: RNAcentral
CCUACGGGAGGCAGCAGUGAGGAAUAUUGGUCAAUGGCCGGGAGACUGAACCAGCCAAGCCGCGUGAGGGAGUAAGGUCCUGUGGGUCGUAAACCUCUUUUGUCAGGGAACAAAGGCUUCCACGUGUGGCCGGGAGGAGAGUACCUGAGGAAAAAGCAUGGGCUAACUCCGGCCCAGCAGCCGCGGUAAUACGGAGGAUGCGAGCGUUUUCCGGGUUUAUUGGGUUUAAAGGUUGCGUAGGCGGAGUGUAAAGUCAGCGGUAAAAGCUCGGGGCUCAACCCCGUCGUGCCGUUGAAACUGGCGGUCUCGAGUGAGAGAGAAGUAUGCGGAAUGCGCGGUGUAGCGGUGAAAUGCAUAGAUAGCACGCAGAACGCCGAUUGCGAAGGCAGCAUACCGGCGCCAAACUGACGCUGAGGCACGAAAGUGUGGGUAUCGAACAGGAUUAGAUACCCGUGUAGUC